GGGGGCGAAAUGGCUUCGACGGGGAUAAAGAAGCUCAGAUGGCAUGCCGAGUUCCUGCUCAACUCGUAAAACGGGCGGGACUAAACAUAAUCGCAGACGAUUAUAACUACGCCGUAGCGGCUUAACGCUACCGUUCUUCCGGGUUAUGACCGCGGACCUGGAAAGAACGUCGACUAGCGGACUAGCCGGUUUUGAAUGCCUGCGACAAAACCGGUGAACUUUUCGCAGGAUAGCUUUUGCGGUAUCCCGCCUGAUGGAGACCUGCAAAAGCGAUACAUAAAGAUCAGGACAAGCAUGUAGAUGUCUGUGCGGAAUAUUUUCGGACGCGGGUUCGACUCCCGCCGCCUCCACCA
RNAcentral lists this transfer-messenger RNA (353 nucleotides) under Desulfosarcina sp. OttesenSCG-928-A07. It matches the Rfam family "transfer-messenger RNA". From Rfam's summary of the family: Bacterial tmRNA, also known as 10Sa RNA or SsrA, is named for its dual tRNA and mRNA-like properties. Its role is to liberate the mRNA from a stalled ribosome. The record is from RNAcentral. RNAcentral also lists the same sequence under 1 other name. Lineage: Bacteria; Pseudomonadati; Thermodesulfobacteriota; Desulfobacteria; Desulfobacterales; Desulfosarcinaceae.